This 448-nucleotide ribosomal RNA is filed under the name uncultured bacterium. RNAcentral's name for it is "bacterial SSU rRNA". It matches the Rfam family "Bacterial small subunit ribosomal RNA", at positions 29 to 506 of the family's 1533-position model. The record is from RNAcentral.
ACGAACGCUGGCGGCGUGCCUAAAACAUGCAAGUCGUACGAGUGACUUCGGUCACGAGUGGCAAACGGCUGAGUAACGCGUGGGUGACCUGCCUCUAAGUGGGGAAUAACUGCCCGAAAGGGUGGCUAAUACCGCAUGUGAUGGAUGAUGCAUUUCAUCCAUUAAAGCCGCAAGGCGCUUGGAGAGGGGCCCGCGUCCGAUUAGCUUGUUGGUGGGGUAACGGCCUACCAAGGCUUCGAUCGGUAGCUGGUCUGAGAGGAUGAUCAGCCAGACUGGGACUGCGACACGGCCCAGACUCCUACGGGAGGCAGCAGUUAGGAAUUUUGGGCAAUGGGCGAAAGCCUGACCCAGCAACGCCGCGUGGGUGAUGACGGCCUUCGGGUUGUAAAGCCCUUUUUCAGGGGAAGAUAAUGACGGUACCCUGAGAAUAAGCCCCGGCUAACUACGU